CGCCCGUCGCUCCUACCGAUUGAGUGAUCCGGUGAACCUUCUGGACUGCGAUAGGACUUGAGCCUAGUGCGGGAAGUUAUGUAAACCUUAUCACUUAGAGGAAGGAGAAGUCGUAACAAGGUUUCC
RNAcentral lists this ribosomal RNA (126 nucleotides) under Stokesia sp. (in: ciliates). RNAcentral's name for it is "Stokesia sp. partial small subunit ribosomal RNA". It matches the Rfam family "Eukaryotic small subunit ribosomal RNA", at positions 1670 to 1804 of the family's 1831-position model. Lineage: Eukaryota; Ciliophora; Oligohymenophorea; Peniculida; Stokesiidae. The record is from RNAcentral.